Long non-coding RNA from Poecilia latipinna (sailfin molly), 532 nucleotides. RefSeq lists it as uncharacterized. NCBI's taxonomy places the organism in Eukaryota, Metazoa, Chordata, Actinopteri, Cyprinodontiformes, Poeciliidae. The record is from RefSeq and is a predicted model, not a curated record. The transcript is spliced from 2 exons.
UGACCAUUUUGCUCUUACUUUUGACCCUUGUCGAUGCUCUGACACCAGUCCUCAGACAGGCUAUUAAUUAUACGGCUAAAAGAUCCCGUAACUAGUCUCUUGGCUAACGCCGGCCUAGAAGAUAAAAGAAAGUAUGAGUAAACAGACCUCAUAUUAUAAUGUGGAGUCCAGCUGUGUCUGGAUGAAGCUAAUGACCCCACCCUUUCAUCAUUGGCACUAAUUACACUCAUCAAUAUUAAUGAGCUCAUUAGCAUGGUGACAAAAUGUGUGUAAUUUAUGAGCUAUGUGUUCGCAUUAGGAGUUAGGAAGGGAGCAGAGUGAGGAGAGGGAGGUAAAAAUAAAGUGGAACUAUACUUACCAGUCACAAUGUGCAAGGAUAAAUGUGCAUAAGAAGAAUGACUCCUGUGGGAGACAAGAUCAUCUCUUGAGACAGGACAAAGUCAAUAUGGAGAGUUACACAAAACCCAAAGGGAGCAAGCCACCAGAGGCGAGACGUAUACUGACUGAUAAAGAUGAAGAGGGAUAGAGCGAA